Molecule: ribosomal RNA, 195 nt
Filed under: Triticum aestivum (bread wheat)
Lineage: Eukaryota; Viridiplantae; Streptophyta; Magnoliopsida; Poales; Poaceae
Description: partial small subunit ribosomal RNA
Source: RNAcentral
AUGGUUACAAGACUCGAGGGGAAUAACAAGCAACCAAUUAGGAUGGGGAGAUGGGGAUUAACAGGUUCUGGAUUUACUUGGGUUUCAACCAGCCGCAAGCGGAGGACCUGCAAUGUAAAUCCUCUCUCCUUGCUCCUGUCAUACCGGUUGUUUAGGUAUCUUUCUGUUCUUCGUAAUUUGCUUCACCCAGUUUAG